CUCAUUCUACCAUUGUCACAUCACUCAUUUACCUGGAGACAUGACUGACAGAUAAUAGUCAAAGUGACAUCCCUCAGCAGGUUCGUUGAAUGUGAUGGGUGAGGAGGAAAGAACUUGCAGGUCGAGGAAGGUGAGGGUAAAAUGAGGCAGUUCUAGAUUUCGCCUCAGAUGAAAUGAUGAGGAUACAAAGCUUCCGUCAGACCCCACCCCUACCUGACAGCCCUGCGGGAGAAAGGAGCUGUCCUGAGACGCUGGCUCACAGGGCCCCAUUGUCCUCUUCUUAUGGACUUUGGCCUAUGAGGAAGUAAAGCAUCCAACAAGAGCAUAGUGGGGUUCCACUGCAGACAGGUAUGUUACCCCAUAGUUCAUGAGAAAAGAAACAAAGACUAGAUGAUGGAGUGAGCAGGAUGAGAGAUUAAUCUGCAGAAGCCAAAGACACAGGAUCCAAGUCAGGAUUCCAGAGACAUGAGUGUGGAGCCAGAGAGAUGGGAUCAAAGUGGAGACCAGCAGGAGUAUCAUGCGUGCUGGAUGGACCUGACUUCAAAUGCUCAGGCAGGAACAGAUAAUUUGCUUGUUCAAAACUCUUUAUUGAAGCCUUAGUGCCUAAAUAGCAGAGUCCCAGGCACUUGAACUUUCUCUCCAAGGUCUUCUAAAAUAUGAUCUGACCUUUCCUUCCUCACUUUGCACUUUCUAUUCCUUUAUUGUUCCUCAAAUUCCUUUCAUCUUCUGAUUUUUGCCUGGAAUGCCUUUCUGCUGUCUCUCCUGUACAAAUUCUAUUCAUUUUUAAAGCCUCUGUUUCUCUGAAUGCUGUCCUGGCCACUCUAGCCUGAUGUGAACUUUUCCCAUUCUGGACUCUCACAGUCAUUAUUAUCUGCCCACGCAUUUGGCAAUUGGUCAUUGUCUCCUUGAGAUUCUUUUGGAAACAAAUCCCCCACCAAGCCAACUUAAGCAAUAAAGAAAUUUAUUAUCUCA
RNAcentral lists this long non-coding RNA (972 nucleotides) under Vulpes vulpes (red fox). RNAcentral describes it as "lncRNA (ENSVVUG00000030339.1)". The record is from RNAcentral. Lineage: Eukaryota; Metazoa; Chordata; Mammalia; Carnivora; Canidae.